GAAUGCUGACAUAAGUAACGAUAAAGCGGGUGAAAAGCCCGCUCGCCGGAAGACCAAGGGUUCCUGUCCAACGUUAAUCGGGGCAGGGUGAGUCGACCCCUAAGGCGAGGCCGAAAGGCGUAGUCGAUGGGAAACGGGUUAAUAUUCCCGUACUUGGUGUUACUGCGAAGGGGGGACGGAGAAGGCUAUGUUGGCCGGGCGACGGUUGUCCCGGUUUAAGCGUGUAGGUGUGUGUUCCAGGUAAAUCCGGUUCACUUUAACACUGAGGCGUGACGACGAGGCACUACGGUGCUGAAGCAACAAAUGCCCUGCUUCCAGGAAAAGCCUCUAAGCAUCAGGUAACAUCAAAUCGUACCCCAAACCGACACAGGUGGUCAGGUAGAGAAUACCAAGGCGCUUGAGAGAACUCGGGUGAAGGAACUAGGCAAAAUGGUGCCGUAACUUCGGGAGAAGGCACGCUGACACGUAGGUGAAGUGAUUUACUCAUGGAGCUGAAGUCAGUCGAAGAUACCAGCUGGCUGCAACUGUUUAUUAAAAACACAGCACUGUGCAAACACGAAAGUGGACGUAUACGGUGUGACGCCUGCCCGGUGCCGGAAGGUUAAUUGAUGGGGUCAGCGCAAGCGAAGCUCCUGAUCGAAGCCCCGGUAAACGGCGGCCGUAACUAUAACGGUCCUAAGGUAGCGAAAUUCCUUGUCGGGUAAGUUCCGACCUGCACGAAUGGCGUAAUGAUGGCCAGGCUGUCUCCACCCGAGACUCAGUGAAAUUGAACUCGCUGUGAAGAUGCAGUGUACCCGCGGCAAGACGGAAAGACCCCGUGAACCUUUACUAUAGCUUGACACUGAACAUUGAGCCUUGAUGUGUAGGAUAGGUGGGAGGCUUUGAAGUGUGGACGCCAGUCUGCAUGGAGCCGACCUUGAAAUACCACCCUUUAAUGUUUGAUGUUCUAACGUGGACCCGUUACCCGGGUUGCGGACAGUGUCUGGUGGGUAGUUUGACUGGGGCGGUCUCCUCCUAAAGAGUAACGGAGGAGCACGAAGGUUGGCUAAUCCUGGUCGGACAUCAGGAGGUUAGUGCAAUGGCAUAAGCCAGCUUGACUGCGAGCGUGACGGCGCGAGCAGGUGCGAAAGCAGGUCAUAGUGAUCCGGUGGUUCUGAAUGGAAGGGCCAUCGCUCAACGGAUAAAAGGUACUCCGGGGAUAACAGGCUGAUACCGCCCAAGAGUUCAUAUCGACGGCGGUGUUUGGCACCUCGAUGUCGGCUCAUCACAUCCUGGGGCUGAAGUAGGUCCCAAGGGUAUGGCUGUUCGCCAUUUAAAGUGGUACGCGAGCUGGGUUUAGAACGUCGUGAGACAGUUCGGUCCCUAUCUGCCGUGGGCGCUGGAGAACUGAGGGGGGCUGCUCCUAGUACGAGAGGACCGGAGUGGACGCAUCACUGGUGUUCGGGUUGUCAUGCCAAUGGCACUGCCCGGUAGCUAAAUGCGGAAGAGAUAAGUGCUGAAAGCAUCUAAGCACGAAACUUGCCCCGAGAUGAGUUCUCCCUGAGACUUAGAGUC
This 1554-nucleotide ribosomal RNA is filed under the name Salmonella enterica subsp. enterica serovar Enteritidis. RNAcentral describes it as "partial 23S ribosomal RNA". It matches the Rfam family "Bacterial large subunit ribosomal RNA", at positions 1292 to 2925 of the family's 2925-position model. Lineage: Bacteria; Pseudomonadati; Pseudomonadota; Gammaproteobacteria; Enterobacterales; Enterobacteriaceae. The record is from RNAcentral.